UUCUCUCUUUCUCUCUCGUUCUCAUCUCUCGUUCUCUUCUAUCAUGUUUAAAAAUUCGAAUGUUUUGUUGAUUUCAGAGAUUUAAAAUCCCAAAUGGCUAACCAAUUUAUUUCUCUCAUUAGGGUUUUGAGGUUUACGUAUGAAAGUUUUUCUUAUCUCUGUUCUCUAGUCUCCAAAAACUCUUAAGAGCAGCAGCACAAAGAAGAAGAAACGCCCUAAACUUCUCAUUUCCUUAUAAAUAUAAUGAAGUGUAUCGCUUGAUUUCAACCUUAUGUUUUAUUUUUGUUUCUUGGUUUGGUUGAAUCUGAUCUUAUAUGAAAUCCAUAAAUUCUAGGGUUUUGAUUUGAAAAUAAGGUACGCUGGGAUGCCUGUAUAUCUUUCUAGGGUUUGAUUGUAUCUGAUUGUAUAUUUGGAUUAAUUGGGUAGUUAUCUAUGACUCAAUCUUCUUCAUCAUCUUUAAUUUUAGAAAUUUAAAUUUUAACAAUAGGGUUAGGGUAAAUUUUCAAGCUCUUGAUUUUCUUAUUAAAAGUUUCAAUUGAAUUAUUAUUUUUAUUGAUUAGGUUUGCGGUUCACUUGAACUGGUACCUAUUGUGAUUCCUGGUGAUGAUGGUAUAGUGGUGGUGCUGGUGAAGUAGAAGAUGACUCAGUUUGCUAAUAAGAUUGCUCAUCACGUUGCUUGUCUGUUUUGUAAGCUGGGUUAUUCUUAGGUGCCAUUACUGGAGCUUUAAUAAGGAAAGAAACUGAGAAUACUUUAAUCUCUACCAAGUUGUUUGCUGCCAAUUAGAAGGGAUAUUUGAUAUGGACCACUGGCACCAUGGAUAUGUGUUGUGAUUGCUAAGGACUUGGAUGGAUUUACCCUUGUGAUAUUUGGAGUAUUGGUUGUAUGAAUCUUUAAUUGAGCUAUGCUCGGGAGAUACAUUGUGUAAGACGCAUGAGAACUUAAAGAACCUGGCCAUAAUAGAGAGGAAAUUGGGGUCAAUACCAAAUCACAUGUUGAAGAAAGUUGGAUAUCAUGCAGAGAAAUACAUAAGAAAGGGAAGAUUGAAUUGGCCAGAGGGUGCGACAUCCAGGGAAAGCGUUAGAGUUGUUUCAAAGUUACCAUGUUUGCCGGUAUGUGAAGAAUUGUUGUGUUCAGGGAAGAUUCUUUUGAAAGGAGACAAGAUAACAUUGAUGCAGAAUAGGGUAAAUGAUGAUUUUGUCCUAGUGAGGAUAUAUAACAUGAGUAGCAGAGUUGAAUGUUGCAUAUUAUACUGUCUGACAAUGCUAGUGCAACAAUCGAAUUUCCUGCAUUUGGAUAAUUAUCUCUGUAUUCUGGAUUAUCGUUUAAUUCAUGAAGCAACGGGUCGAGCUGAAGAUGACAGAAAAAGGGAAUAGGCUAAUGUCUGGGAAUGGAUCGGAAUAAGAUGAAUAUUACCUUGCAGCCUUCACAGUAUAUCUCAACUAGUGCAGUGGGAGUUUGAAAUUUUUGGCGAUGUGAUGAGUGUGGAUGCAAAUUUGACUUGUGCAUUACCCAGAUCCUUCAACUUCUGAUAAGAGAAUGGAAAUUGGAUUCGGUAACAAGAAGUCAAUACCUGGAACACCACCAAAGAAGAUCAGUUGUGGAAGAGAAGGAUGAGCGUGGAGCUGAAGUCUUUGGUGGACCAAGUUCAGAGCUGAAGUCGGCAUGUAAUUCUGCACUAAUGAAACUCGUAGGGAAGAUUCUUUUGAAAGGAGACAACAUAACAUUGAUGCAGACUGCGUAAGCAAACUGAAUCUCUCCCUCCACCCUCACUCAGUGUAGAUGCAAAUUUGACUUGUGUAUUCCCCAAAUCCUUCAACUUCUGAUAAGAGAAUGAAAAUUGGGUUCGGUAACAAGAAGUCAAUACCUGGAACACCACCAAAGAAGGUAAUCCUUAGCUUGUUUUGUUAAGGUGAUUAAGAAUCGGUGAGUUGGAGCUCUGAGGAUCGGGCGACUGACUCAGUGUAAGUUUUUUCAUAAUUUUCUCUUUAUGUAAUCAAUUUCAGGUGAAAUUUCUUAUUGAUUCAGGUCAAUUCCUUCAUUAAUACUAGUUCUUCAUAUUAGUUGCAA
This is an RNA transcript of Papaver somniferum (opium poppy), 2068 nucleotides long. RefSeq lists it as uncharacterized. The record is from RefSeq and is a predicted model, not a curated record. Lineage: Eukaryota; Viridiplantae; Streptophyta; Magnoliopsida; Ranunculales; Papaveraceae. The transcript is spliced from 10 exons.